Helianthus annuus (common sunflower) is the source of this 270-nucleotide long non-coding RNA. RefSeq lists it as uncharacterized. NCBI's taxonomy places the organism in Eukaryota, Viridiplantae, Streptophyta, Magnoliopsida, Asterales, Asteraceae. The record is from RefSeq and is a predicted model, not a curated record. The transcript has 3 exons.
AGGAUAAGUGACAAUAAUCUCAGUGGGUCCAUACCUAAUUUCAUAGAGAAUUGGAGACAACUCAAUAAACUAGAACUAAUUGGGACGGGGCUUUCGGGACCGAUUCCUUCAUCCAUUUCCUUUCUGAACUUAACUGACGUGAGAAUUUGUGAACUAAGUGGACCAACUCAGAGAUUCCGUCCGUUAGAUAAUGUUGUUGGUUUACUAACACUGUAUUUAGAAGGUUUUGUAUUUCAAAUUGUCGUUGUAAUAUAAUAUAUUGGUUUGUGU